GUCCUCCCAGACACUCCGUAGUCGGCGUUGGUUUCCUUGGAGACCAAAACACCAGUGAAAGUGCCCGGUUUUGUUGAGAAGUUUGAGGGGCCUGAGUUCCCGAACCACGCAGAGACAAGGAAGUUGGAGAAGCCGAACAGGCAUCCCAGAGGAUCAGGGCACCACAGACUCGUGACUAUUCUAGUUUCGCCAAUGGCUCACGUCUUUCCGAAAUCCAGCCACUUGAGUACUCACUCCACGGCCCGCAAGUCCCAGUUUCUGCAGUGGUCCAAGCAUGAAACCAAGCCAUUGACUCUGCCUCCACUUCAACAAACCAGCAGCCAUAACAAAAGCAAAAUGAAGACUUCUAGUAGAGGCAAUACAGCAGUGCCCUCCAAGCUCACCCCAUUGGUGACAAACCAGCCGAAGAAUCCAGAAGGACGAAUAAGGCAGAAGCCACACCCAGGAAAGAUAUCUGCCAAACCCCAGCUAAUGAGGCUGAUGCUCCGGAACCAGCGGGGCUUGCUCCAGGAUGUUUGCAGCCAUGAGUGCUUCCUCACCAAGCAGAAUGAAGAGGCGGUCAGAACCAUCCUGGACACGGAGGCUAGCACGGCGCUGCAAGUGUGGGCCAUGCUGCAGCAGGAGGACAUCGCGGUGAACAUGAUGGACAUCUUGGAGUACUCAAACAAAAAGCUACAGAGGUCAGAGUCUGAGCUUCAGGAGUGGAGAGAGAAGGAGGAACGCAAGAAGAACAGCCUGGAGCAGCAGGCAGAGCAGCUGAACACCAGGAUCAAGAACACCCAGGAGUUGGUGAGCUUCCUGAGCACGUACAUGGACCUUGAGUACCCUGCCAGGUCUGUGCAGAUUGCCAGCCUUGUGCGCCAGCUGCAGCAGGCGAAGGACAGCCAGCAGGAGGAGCUGGAUAACCGCAGUGAGAUGCGCAGAAUGAUGCUGAAGACUCUGUCCAACGCAAUGCAGGAGAAAAAGAGAAAAGUUUGGAGCUCCCUGGUGGUGAAAACCCAAUAUCCCUAUGACAAGACCCUUCAGCAGGUGAUGCGGGACAGCCAGUGCCAGCAGAAAUGUGUGGUCAAGUGCAGAGAACUUAUUGACCAAUUGAAGGAGAAAAUGCCCACAUUAAGAGCUGAUGUGGAGGCGCUUGAGGCCCGGGUCCGGGAUCUGCGGGAGGUCAUUUUUGAGGAUGUUCUGCUUCGGAGACCCAACUCAUUAAAUCUUCACAAGAACAUCUGGCUGAUGUAAGAGUUGCUGUCAUUUUACAGAUGAAGAAAUGAAAGCGUGAAAAGCAACCCAAGUCCCAAACGUGGUGAAGCAGGAGUUCACGGAUAAAUCACCUCCAGACAGGCUUGUCAAGGGAACCAUCUUUCUGCAGCGGGCCUCCCACACUCCCUCUUGUGGACAGACCUGGAGCUUCCUGCUCAUCUGCUUUGCCCACCUACCUUUGAUAACUGUUGACUCUCAUGCGUGGGACACCAGAGGAACUAACUCCGAAAGCCAGCGGUGGCGCCUGUGUACCACGUAUCGCCGCCGGCAGAUGGCGGUGGACUCACCGGCGGGCUCCUCGGGUAAAGCACCCGGAGUUUGUAAAUUGGAAGCAGGGCGUCUGAUUGCAGAGUCCGCACCUGGAGAGGACCGUUCCGGCCAUUCGUGUGGCGAGACACAGGCCUUUGUUGUGCGCCGGUUGCUGUUGCCUGGUCCCUGCCUGGGACUAGCUCGGGUUCAGGUCUCCCCCUAUUCAGUCGCCGCCCGCGUCUCUCUUCCCAACAGCAGAGCUCAUUUCCUGCUUGGCCUGGGCCCGGGCUGCUCCCGGCCUCGGAACGCGGUUCACAAGGUCUCCGCGCGGCGGCCUCAGCGAGCAGUCUCCAGGCGCCCGCUUUCUCAGAGGUCUGCUAUGGCUGCUGUCUCUGACUUGGUUCUCCUCUCCCCAUCUCUUUGCACGCAUUUGUUUUCUUCACAGCUGCAGUUAUUAUCUGAUAUUACGCAUUUCUUUUAUGCAUAUUAG
Molecule: RNA transcript, 1996 nt
Organism: Fukomys damarensis (Damara mole-rat)
Lineage: Eukaryota; Metazoa; Chordata; Mammalia; Rodentia; Bathyergidae
Gene: CUNH20orf96
Gene name: chromosome unknown C20orf96 homolog
Exons: 13
Source: RefSeq, a predicted model, not a curated record